Molecule: ribosomal RNA, 245 nt
Filed under: uncultured Actinomycetes bacterium
Lineage: Bacteria; Bacillati; Actinomycetota; Actinomycetes
Description: uncultured actinobacterium partial 16S ribosomal RNA
Rfam family: Bacterial small subunit ribosomal RNA
Source: RNAcentral
GACGAACGCUGGCGGCGUGCUUAACACAUGCAAGUCGAGCGGUAAGGCCCCUUCGGGGUACACGAGCGGCGAACGGGUGAGUAACACGUGGGUGACCUGCCUCAGCUCUGGGAUAAGCCUGGGAAACCGGGUCUAAUACCGGAUAUGACUCCAUGACGCAUGUUGUGGGGUGGAAAGCCUUGUGCGGCUGGGGAUGGGCCCGCGGCCUAUCAGCUUGUUGGUGGGGUGAUGGCCUACCAAGGCGA